Molecule: ribosomal RNA, 819 nt
Filed under: uncultured Actinomycetes bacterium
Lineage: Bacteria; Bacillati; Actinomycetota; Actinomycetes
Description: bacterial SSU rRNA
Rfam family: Bacterial small subunit ribosomal RNA
Source: RNAcentral
ACUCCUACGGGAGGCAGCAGUGGGGAAUAUUGCGCAAUGGGCGGAAGCCUGACGCAGCGACGCCGCGUGAGGGAUGAAGGCCUUCGGGUCGUAAACYUYUUUCAGCAGGRAAGAAGCGAGAGUGACGGUACCUGCAGAAGAAGCACCGGCUAACUACGUGCCAGCAGCCGCGGUAAUACGUAGGGUGCAAGCGUUGUCCGGAAUUAUUGGGCGUAAAGAGCUCGUAGGCGGUCUGUCGCGUCUGCUGUGAAAACUCAGGGCUUAACCCUGAGCUUGCAGUGGGUACGGGCAGACUAGAGUGCGGUAGGGGAGACUGGAAUUCCUGGUGUAGCGGUGAAAUGCGCAGAUAUCAGGAGGAACACCGGUGGCGAAGGCGGGUCUCUGGGCCGUAACUGACGCUGAGGAGCGAAAGCAUGGGGAGCGAACAGGAUUAGAUACCCUGGUAGUCCAUGCCGUAAACGUUGGGCGCUAGGUGUGGGGACCUUUCCAUGGUUUCCGUGCCGCAGCUAACGCAUUAAGCGCCCCGCCUGGGGAGUACGGCCGCAAGGCUAAAACUCAAAGGAAUUGACGGGGGCCCGCACAAGCGGCGGAGCAUGCGGAUUAAUUCGAUGCAACGCGAAGAACCUUACCAAGGCUUGACAUGGGGUGAAAACUCGCAGAGAUGCGGGGUCCGUAAGGGCGCCUCACAGGUGGUGCAUGGUUGUCGUCAGCUCGUGUCGUGAGAUGUUGGGUUAAGUCCCGCAACGAGCGCAACCCUCGUUCCAUGUUGCCAGCACGUUAUGGUGGGGACUCAUGGGAGACUGCCGGGGUCAACUCGGA